AAAGAAACACAAGGCAUAAGAUCAUUUUUACAUUUCCAUUGCACGGCCAAAAAUGAAAGUCCGUUCAUAUAUGUGAUUUUCACUUUCUUGUCUGCAAAUCCAGAAACAUAAACACUUUGAGGAUGAUCCUCAUUUGAAUUCUUCGCUUCUUUCACAUUCCCUUCCAACUUGUCGUUGGUUCCUUUCGAUCAGAUAUUUUCUUUGAGGGCGUUGAACCUCCCUUGAUGGGUGCUCCUAAGCAGAAGUGGACAGCAGAAGAAGAGGCAGCUCUUAAAGCUGGGGUGCUUAAGCAUGGGACAGGCAAAUGGCGGACAAUACUUAUGGACCCUGAGUUUAGUUCCAUCCUGCGUCUAAGGUCAAAUGUUGAUCUGAAGGAUAAAUGGAGAAAUAUAAAUGUAACUGCAAUAUGGGGGUCCAGGCAGAAGGCUAAGCUUGCCCUUAAAAGGACUCCACAGACCCCUAAACGUGAUGAUAAUACAAAGGCUUUGAGUGUUGUAGUUCAAAGAAAUGAAGAAAUUGUUGAUGCUAAGCCUGUAGCAGUUUCUAGUGGAACACCGAGGAAUGUUGGUUCAAAAGAAAUACUUGCAAGGUUGGAUAAUCUAAUAUUAGAGGCUAUUACAACAUUGAAGGAGCCAAGUGGUUCUGACAGGGCUUCAAUUGCUUUGUACAUAGAGGAAAAAUACUGGGCACCCUCAGAUCUCAGGAAGUUAUUGGCAGGAAAUUUAAAGCUUCUGACUGCAAAUGGAAAGUUGGUCAAGGUAAAGCAUAAGUACAGGAUUGCACCUAGUUCAGCAGUUUCUGAAGUGAGAAGAAACUCUCCUCACUUGCUUGCAGAGGGAAAGCAGAAGGAUUCUCCAAAAUCAGAGAAGAGUAACACGAGAAUCCUGACUAAAUCCCAGGUUGAUCAAGAGCUAUCAAAGAUUAGGGGCAUGACUGCCCUAGAGGCUGCUGCAGCUGCAGCAAAGGCAGUUGCAGAGGCAGAAGCUGCAAUUGCAGAAGCUGAAGAGGCAGCUAGGGAGGCUGAGGCAGCAGAAGCUGAAGCAGAAGCAGCACAAGUUUUUGCCAAAGCUGCGGUGAAGGCAUUCAAGUAUAGGACUCGCCAUCUAUUAAAUGCUGUUCUCAGCAACUCUUCCUAAAGGUUUAGCCAGUAAUUUGGUAUAGUCUAUAACAGCUUAGCCAAUUUUCUCCUCUCAUAAAUAUGUGACUUGAGUUCUUCAAGUGGAUGUGGGCAUGAGAACAUGCUUCGGAUUUUUCAGGUGCAGCAGUAUAAAUCCCCUAUUUUGUAUAUAACUGUAAAUGUGGAUAGUCUUAUAAAAUCUCGCAAAUGCAAUAUUAAACUAUGAAGACAUGUUCUUUGGUUGGAAAUAUAUAGUUUUUUUCUGUUUUUUUAUUCAAAACUUUAUAAUGAGGCAAAGAGUAGAUAAUCAGAAAUAGAACACGAGAUUGGCUAUUAUAUGCAUGUAUUUUUAAUGGUUAGUCAAUCCAGUGGAAGAGUGAUUUACGUUGAAUGCAUUUAUCUCUUUUCUCUCCA
This is an RNA transcript of Manihot esculenta (cassava), 1531 nucleotides long. It is a transcript of the gene named telomere repeat-binding factor 2, with no coding region annotated. The record is from RefSeq and is a predicted model, not a curated record. The transcript has 8 exons. NCBI's taxonomy places the organism in Eukaryota, Viridiplantae, Streptophyta, Magnoliopsida, Malpighiales, Euphorbiaceae.